CCUGAGAAACCCGAAAGAUCGAAUGGGGAGAUUCAUCGUCAGCGAUUUUGGUACGUGUGCGGUUCGGGAUGCCGGUGGCUUCGGCCACGCGACACUCGUCUGCAUGUUUAUUAUUGCCUCAAUCGUCGGCGUGCACUUCUCCCCUAGUAGGACGUCGCGACCCGUUGGGUGUCGGUCUACGGCUCGGUUGGUAGCCUGUCUCGUGUGCGUCUCACGGCGUAUCGCGGGGCAGACCUCCGAACGCCCGACCGGCUGCCCGGCGGUACUCGCACGGUAUCUGGCCGCAAAUAUUUGAACUGCGUCCGGCCCGUCGCAAGCGAGGCGAGUGUCCCGGCUGUACGGAUGUAAUGCCGUCACCGGGCCUGGCCAGCUGUUGGUUGACGGUGUCCUGGGACUGGCCAAUAAUAUUAUGAUACCGGUCGGCGACGCUACUGCUUUGGGUACUUUCAGGA
This 452-nucleotide ribosomal RNA is filed under the name Ateleute sp. CNC 422344. RNAcentral describes it as "partial 28S ribosomal RNA". Lineage: Eukaryota; Metazoa; Arthropoda; Insecta; Hymenoptera; Ichneumonidae. The record is from RNAcentral.